Long non-coding RNA from Oncorhynchus tshawytscha (Chinook salmon), 3574 nucleotides. RefSeq lists it as uncharacterized. Lineage: Eukaryota; Metazoa; Chordata; Actinopteri; Salmoniformes; Salmonidae. The record is from RefSeq and is a predicted model, not a curated record. The transcript is spliced from 3 exons.
UUUUACUUUCUUGAGAUUGUACAAAUUUCGGCAUUUCAGUGUGAACACUCUUUAAGUGUUUCUAGGAGAGGGUCGUGGCUUCGUGUCAAUAAUUCCGGCAAAACACUUGCAAUAAAGAACCUUUCAGCCUUAGGUAGGGCUUUUCGUAGCAUUUCUUCAUCUCUGAUUAUGCGACGCACAAUGACCUCAGCACUUGUCCAAACCACAAAGUCACAGUAUUGGACAUUGCAAACAAACAUGUGAAGUUGAACUUGGUGGUAAUAUUCAUGAUUCUUCUUUAGGUGCAGUGAUUUGUCCAAGCAGAACUGUGUGUCAUCACUGCACCCUGUAAGGCCAUCACGGUAUUUGUAUGGGCACUUAACUUCAAGGGUUCCUCUCCCACAACAGGAACAGUUCACUAAUCCAUCUGGAGACGCCCCGAGAUGUGGUUGAUCGUUCCGCACGACAAGACCAGAGAGCUUCACACUGAAGUUGGCAUGGAUUUUGCUCAUUUCUUCCGUGUAGUACUUUCUGGCUGUGUCCUCCAUGUCUCUUCCCCAAAGUACAGCUGGGACAUGAUGCAACUCACUGUCAUUGUAAUGCAUUGUCUUUUUCACCAAGUUGAUUUUGUCUGUGUUUCUGCCUGCCGUGCACACACGAUGGAAGGCGGUGCUUGUUAUCCGUCCAAUUCGGUUGGUGUGCCAGGCCUGGCAUUUGGACUGCUCCUUGGAGGUGGUGAGAGGUCCCUUAGAUUGGCAUCAUACAGAGCUGUGAGUGGCUCUGGCAGGUCUUCUGUGUUGGUGUUUGAAUCUCCUGAUGCAGUAUCUACAUCACUGUGGUCCUUCACGAUCCUGGUCUCUCGCGGUGACGGACGGAGUUAAGUUCCAGGAAUCGGAGGCCCUUCCCAGCUGAAGAACCCUAGAUGAAUUGCGCUAGUCCUUGGAGAGCUCGCUUCCAGAUAAUUAGGGUGCAGCAUCCUACUCCCUUCCCUCUGUGUGGGUGUCUUUGGUCCUAGCCCGCUUCCCCGCAUUUCCUCUUUGCCUGGGUUGCGCCCGACUGGCUUCAUCCCCGUUAGCCACGGCCACAUGACGCACCUAUGGGCGGAUGUGUCGGCUGCUACCGAAAGGGACUGGGGUCUCAGUUCUGGUGAAGUUCUGGUGAACUGAGACCUCCCGAAAUGGUCUCCUAUUUGUAAGCGGCUUGAGUAUUGCCCAGUCAACCGCUCUGCGCGCAGGCGGGAGUUGAAUGUCUCCCCAGCCCUCCCAGCGCUUUGGCGGCGGUGGAGCACCCGGAGGCCCCCCUAACCUCAAACUUUUGUCUGUGAACGAUGGCCUCUCGCUCUGACAAAGGCGGGCGGGGGGGUAAGGAGGGCAACCUCCCCAACUCCGCCUAGCCACUAGCCUCUGGUUGAGGUAGAGCGACCUGUCUCUGGCAUGUUAGUGCAGGGAGGUAAGGGAGGUAGCCUUCUCAUAAGGCUCUUUCAACCCCUCCUUGUAGUCCAACUGCUUCAGGUGUCGACAACAAUGCAAUGCAAACAAGAGCCACCUCGGUACCGGUCCAUUGCAAAGAGGGUUCUGCUGAUGGUGAUGGCUACCGAUCGCUAACGCGAGGGGUGUAGUCGGCCCUGGAAUAUGUGAAAUAUGGGGCUUUUGGCCAAGCAUGAAAAUGCGGUGGCAGUUGCACCAGACUUGAUGAUUUGCAGCAGAGCUCUUGCACACGAAGCUUGCAGAGAACGAUGGCCUGAACACUGCCCCGGCUCCGGCCGGGAGAGGGAUAUCCAAGUUAUUGGGAACGUGUUCUGCCGAAAUCAGUCCAAUCACAGAAGGCUGUGAUGAAACAAAAAGCUUGCGUUCCCUGCAUGCUUGGAUAGCUCUAAACCGCGAAGGUUUAAAUCGAACGAUCGCCCGCCGAGAGUGAACAUUAAAUGGGGAUGGCCAGUGUCCAGCGGUUAGGUACUACCAGGCCUCAGGUCCGCCUGAGUAUGGGACUCUACACGUGACGGUGGUAGCUCUCUUCCACGCUCCUUGGAGCACGAAAUGGAAUGGCAUGCGACUAACAAACAGCGGGCACUACCAGGCCUCAGGCUUGCCUGAGUGCGAGACUUCACACAUUGUAGGUGGGUUUGUCUCCCCUACGUUCGGAGACUCGAGAUGGAGAUAACCCAUAGGCCCCGUGGCGGAUCCCUAUAGACAGCCUGGGUUUCCACUGGGCACGAUCACAUGAAGCAAUUCAAGGGAACGGGCCUACCGGAGCAUUCGCACUCAAAUCACCCUUGGGGUGACUGUGGCCCCCUCACGCGAGUGAGGAAUAUCGAUAACGCAAAGGUUUAAAAAGUGGUACCCAGGGUGCAGUCUGAAGGGCUGACUGGGCAAGCAUAUGAUUGAAAGUGGAAGAACCUUUUUCUGCUGCUUCAGCCGAUACCCGGCUGAGGGUGGCACUAGACGUACAGACAGGUAAGGGGUUUAAGUCUCCUGAAGUACUGUGCAGGCACUUGAUGUCGUUCGGGUGUAAAAGCCCAUUGUAAAGUCCCUGGGGAGGUUAGUCCCGGGGUUACUGAUGCGCAGUAUGUAAUCUGUAGAAUAGAGUCGUGAGACACCGCUCGCGUGACUUGACUGGGUGUCCACGUGAGGAUAGCUGACUGCAGCGUGCACUCACCCCUUUGUUGCGCCGACUUGUCGGCUGUGGUCCUGAUGCGGAGGCGAAGGAAUCCAAUUCCUGAUGCCAAAGCGAAGGAACUCAAUGAAGGGCAGGUAAAGGGUGGGAUUCACUACGACUCGAUUAAGGUAGCCAAAUGCCUCGUCAGGCCCCCCUAACCUUAAGAACAAACAGGAGUCCAAAUCUUUUCAUAAUUUACCAAAGGAUGAAAAACAGGCUUUGCUUGAUUUACAAUCCGAUACGUCAGUCCUUACUGGUUGUACUCAUCGAUAGGACAGCUUAUGUAAAUGAGUGUCAUAGACAACUACUUGACAACAGCUUUUACAAGAAACUCAGAAGUGACCCCACUUCCCAAUUUCAGAAUACCAUCUUAAAUACCCUAGAUGGGUAUUUAAGUUCUGGUCAGAUAACCAAAAAAUAACAACUUUUUGGCUAUUCAACACCCUAAAAAUGCCACUUUCUAUCCUUUGCCGAAAUGACACAAGAAUGUUACAAAACCUCAGGGGUGCCCUAUUGUAGCGGGCAUUGAUGCUGUAACAGCCCCUCUAUCUACUUUUUUGUUGACUUUUUUAUUAGACCACUCGCAGAACAGCUCCCCUCCUUUGUAAAGGACACCAGCAGUAUGAUCUCUAUCAUUGAAUCUCUUGAUCCUCUCCCUGAGAAUACCUUGUUAGUUACUUUUGAUGUUGAGUUGUUAUACACAAAUAUUCCACACGAGGGCGGUAUUGAAGCUAUGGAACAUUUUCUUCUGCAACGUGACCCUAAUGAACUACCUUCCAUUGCCUGCAUUAUGACAUUGGCUGAAAUAGUACUCGCACAUAACUACUUCAUGUUUCUAAAUGAUUUCUUUAUUCAGAUGAAGGGUACUGCUAUGGGAUCCCCCAUGGCUCCUAAAUAUGCUAAUUUGUAUGUGGGUUACAUGGAGAAAGUCUAUUUUCAA